AAAUGCAAUAAAUUGUGAUGUCUUUGCAUCUUCUAGGUCCUUUUCUUUGAGUAAAGUACUAACUGCAGAAUAUAAAUCUGAUAAUUCAAGAGAAAAAAGUUAACACAGCAAAGCACUAAAUUAUAACAUUGUUUCAAUGGAGAAACUACUUCAGAAUUCCUGCUAAGGGGUCCAGGAAAACAUCUCACCAAAUGGGAUACAAGUUCACCAUGGGGGCAUCAACCUCAUUUGUUUCAUCAGCCAGGAGCAAGAGAAAAGAGAAUGAAGGUGACGGUUCCAGACGCUCUAUCCUCAGUCACUAGCCAGGACAGCUCCUAAUUCGUAAUAUCACCACUGCAUAUUUACUGAUGGUUUGUCAAUGCUGAAUUUAAAGUAUGAGCAAGAGGACAAAAUAUGUAACACAACUACUAACGGAAUGUUGGAUCAUCAGAGAUAUUCAGCUCUGCAUCAAACGUUGGAAACUGGCGUCUCGAGAUUCUUAAAUAAAGAGAACGCAGUAUCUCGUCAUCUGGUGGUGACUCUUCCUGUGUUUUCUGUGUAGAUUGUUUUUGAGUAUUCCUUCCAAUGUUCUUUUGACAUUACAGUCUUUAAGAAAGAGGGAACAGAUGUGUAACUGAUUUGGUGCUGCCAUAUCUGAUUGUAAAAAGUAAGAAGGAAAUCCUUGAACUUGAAAGCUCCUUGAUCCUAC
This is a long non-coding RNA of Aethalodelphis obliquidens (Pacific white-sided dolphin), 688 nucleotides long. RefSeq lists it as uncharacterized. NCBI's taxonomy places the organism in Eukaryota, Metazoa, Chordata, Mammalia, Artiodactyla, Delphinidae. The transcript is spliced from 4 exons. The record is from RefSeq and is a predicted model, not a curated record.